Pelobates cultripes (western spadefoot toad) is the source of this 262-nucleotide non-coding RNA. Lineage: Eukaryota; Metazoa; Chordata; Amphibia; Anura; Pelobatidae. The record is from the annotation of a GenBank genome assembly.
CUCAGACUUUCAUCAGGACUUGUUAUAUACUUAUAUAUGUGUCUGUUACUUAUUGUCACUUAAUAUUUAUUCUAAUUGUUAUUUACUAAUAUACGUAAAGUGACUGAAAACAUGAUUCAUGAUUACGUUUUUUCUGGAGGUUAGCAGCUAAGCAGAUGGUCAUCUUGAAGACAAGAUAUCGGGUAAACACAUCCUAAUUUUGGGCAUAUUCGAGGCAAACUAGCAGGGCCGGAUAGAUUGGAAGCAGCUGUGUGGAGCCGAG